RNAcentral lists this ribosomal RNA (384 nucleotides) under uncultured prokaryote. RNAcentral's name for it is "bacterial SSU rRNA". It matches the Rfam family "Archaeal small subunit ribosomal RNA", at positions 341 to 725 of the family's 1478-position model. The record is from RNAcentral.
GCGAAAACUUUACAAUGCCGGCAACGGCGAUAAGGGGACCUCGAGUGCCAGGUUACAGGUCUGGCUGUCGCGAUGCCUAAAAAGCAUUGCAUAGCAAGGGCCGGGCAAGACCGGUGCCAGCCGCCGCGGUAACACCGGCGGCUCGAGUGGUAACCGUUAUUAUUGGGUCUAAAGGGUCUGUAGCCGGCCGGGUAAGUCUCUUGGGAAAUCCAGCAGCUUAACUGUUGGGCUUUCAGGAGAUACUGCCUGGCUCGAGGCCGGGGGAGGUGAGAGGUACUUCAGGGGUAGGGGUGAAAUCUUGUAAUCCUUGAAGGACCACCAGUGGCGAAGGCGUCUCACCAGAACGGACCUGACGGCAAGGGACGAAAGCUAGGGGCACGAACC